This 907-nucleotide ribosomal RNA is filed under the name uncultured Campylobacterota bacterium. RNAcentral describes it as "bacterial SSU rRNA". It matches the Rfam family "Bacterial small subunit ribosomal RNA", at positions 41 to 955 of the family's 1533-position model. The record is from RNAcentral. Lineage: Bacteria; Pseudomonadati; Campylobacterota.
GGGGGGCUUACCAUGCAAGGUCGAACGGGUAACAGAGAGUAGCUUGCUUCUCUGCUGACGAGUGGCGCACGGGUGAGUAAUAUAUAGGUAAUGUGCCCCUUGGACCGGGAUAGCCACUGGAAACGGUGAUUAAUACUGGAUACUCCUUUUAAUCAAAAGAUUAAUCGGGAAAUGGAUUCCGCCAAGGGAUCGGCCUAUAUCCUAUCAGGUAGUUGGUGAGGUAAGAGCUCACCAAGCCAAUGACGGGUAGCGGGUUUGAGAGGAUGAUCCGCCACACUGGUACUGAGACACGGACCAGACUCCUACGGGAGGCAGCAGUGAGGAAUAUUGCACAAUGGGGGCAACCCUGAUGCAGCAACGCCGCGUGGAGGAUGACGCAUUUCGGUGUGUAAACUCCUUUUAUAUGUCAAGAAAAUGACGGUAGCAUAUGAAUAAGCACCGGCUAACUCCGUGCCAGCAGCCGCGGUAAUACGGAGGGUGCAAGCGUUAUUCGGAAUCACUGGGCGUAAAGGACGCGUAGGCGGGUUGGCAAGUCAGAUGUGAAAUCCUACAGCUUAACUGUAGAACUGCAUUUGAAACUGCCGACCUAGAGUAUGGGAGGGGGAGAUGGAAUUAGUGGUGUAGGGGUAAAAUCCGUAGAUAUCACUAGGAAUACCGAAAGCGAAGGCGAUCUCCUGGAACAUAACUGACGCUAAGGCGUGAAAGCGUGGGGAGCAAACAGGAUUAGAUACCCUGGUAGUCCACGCCCUAAACGAUGUUCACUAGUCGUCGCUCUGCUAGUCAGGGCGGUGAUGCACUUAACAGAUUAAGUGAACCGGCCUGGGGAGUACGGGUCGCAAGAUUAAAACUCAAAAGGAAUAGACGGGGGACCCGCACAAGUGGUGGAGCACGUGGUUUUAAUUCCGAA